Molecule: ribosomal RNA, 253 nt
Filed under: uncultured bacterium
Lineage: Bacteria
Description: partial 16S ribosomal RNA
Rfam family: Bacterial small subunit ribosomal RNA
Source: RNAcentral
UACAGAGGGGGCAAGCGUUAUUCGGAAUUAUUGGGCGUAAAGGGCGCGUAGGCGGCUUUGCAAGUGACGGGUGAAAUCCCUCGGCUUAACCGAGGAACUGCCUGUCAAACUGCAUGGCUUGAGACCGGGAGAGGUGAGUGGAAUUAGCAGUGUAGCAGUGAAAUGCGUAGAUAUUGCUAGGAACACCAAUGGCGAAGGCAGCUUGCUGGGCCACUCCUGACACUGAGGUACGAAAGCGUGGGGAGCGAACAGG